This 497-nucleotide ribosomal RNA is filed under the name uncultured bacterium. RNAcentral's name for it is "partial 16S ribosomal RNA". It matches the Rfam family "Bacterial small subunit ribosomal RNA", at positions 28 to 507 of the family's 1533-position model. The record is from RNAcentral.
GAUGAACGCUGGCGGCGUGCCUAAUACAUGCAAGUCGAGCGAACGGACGAGAAGCUUGCUUCUCUGAUGUUAGCGGCGGACGGGUGAGUAACACGUGGAUAACCUACCUAUAAGACUGGGAUAACUUCGGGAAACCGGAGCUAAUACCGGAUGAUAUUUUGAACCGCAUGGUUCAAAAGUGAAAGACGGUCUUGCUGUCACUUAUAGAUGUAUCCGCGCUGCAUUAGCUAGUUGGUAAGGUAACGGCUUACCAAGGCAACGAUGCAUAGCCGACCUGAGAGGGUGAUCGGCCACACUGGAACUGAGACACGGUCCGGACUCCGACGGGAGGCAGCAGUAGGGAAUCUUCCGCAAUGGGCGAAAGCCUGACGGAGCAACGCCGCGUGAGUGAUGAAGGUCUUCGGAUCGUAAAACUCUGUUAUUAGGGAAGAACAUAUGUGUAAGUAACUGUGCACAUCGUGACGGUACCUAAUCAGAAAGCCACGGCUAACUACGUG